This 75-nucleotide transfer RNA is filed under the name Candidatus Dojkabacteria bacterium. RNAcentral's name for it is "tRNA-Lys". It matches the Rfam family "tRNA". From Rfam's summary of the family: Transfer RNA (tRNA) molecules are approximately 80 nucleotides in length. Their secondary structure includes four short double-helical elements and three loops (D, anti-codon, and T loops). The record is from RNAcentral.
GGGUUGGUAGCUCAAUGGUAGAGCAGUGCCCUCUUAAGGCAUUGGUUGUGGGUUCGAGUCCCACCCAGCUCACCA